GGCCCCGUAGCUCAGCUGGAUAGAGCAGCAGAUUUCUAAUCUGAAGGUCGGAGGUUCAAGUCCUCCCGGGGUCACCA
RNAcentral lists this transfer RNA (77 nucleotides) under Hyphomicrobiales bacterium. Its description in RNAcentral is "tRNA-Arg". It matches the Rfam family "tRNA". From Rfam's summary of the family: Transfer RNA (tRNA) molecules are approximately 80 nucleotides in length. Their secondary structure includes four short double-helical elements and three loops (D, anti-codon, and T loops). Lineage: Bacteria; Pseudomonadati; Pseudomonadota; Alphaproteobacteria; Hyphomicrobiales. RNAcentral also lists the same sequence under 2 other names. The record is from RNAcentral.